This is a non-coding RNA of Caenorhabditis elegans, 146 nucleotides long. NCBI's taxonomy places the organism in Eukaryota, Metazoa, Nematoda, Chromadorea, Rhabditida, Rhabditidae. The record is from Ensembl.
GGAGAGGAUCGGCGAAUGGUUAAGGUGGAGGAGAGGGCGCGAGCGCCUGUGCGCGGCGCGGUACGUGAAAUUGUCUGUAUACACACGCACGCACACAUGAGGCACACGCACGCAAACAUACGCUACGUCACACGGGGCAUACACGC